UUGGAGCAUAGUUCUUCACUUGCUAAGUUAUGGCAACUCCCUCCAUUGGUGAUGACCUUGACGGACCUUCCAUUGAUGCUGGACUUGGUAUGAAAGAUAUGGCAUUGCACGGGUGCCCGCACAAGCAGUGGAGCAUGUGGUUUAAUUCGAUGCAAAGCGAAGAACCUUACCAGGGCUUGACAUGCCGCGAAUCCUCUUGAAAGAGAGGGGUGCCCUCGGGAAUGCGGACACAGGUGGUGCGUGGCUGUCGUCAGCUCGUGUCGUAAAGUGUUGGUUUAAGUCUCGCGACGAGCGCAACCCUCAUGUUUAGUUGCCACUAUGAGUUUGGAACCCUGAACAGACCGCUUGUGUUAAGCCGGAGGCAAGAGAGGAUGAGGCCAAGUCAUCAUGCCCCUUAUGCCUUGGGCGACACACGUGCUACAAUUGGCGGGACAAAGGGUCACAAUCUCUCGAGGGUGAGAUAACUCCAAAAACUCGUCCUCAGUUCGGAUUGCAGGCUGUAACUCGCCUGCAUGAAGCAGGAGUCGCUAGUAAUCGCCGGUUAGCUAUACAGCGGUGAAUCCAUUCCCGGGCCUUGUACACACUGCCCGUCAUACUAUAGGAGUUGGCCAUGUUUGAAGUCAUUACCCUUAACCGUAUGGAGGGGGUGCCUAAAUCUAGGCUUCCGACUGGAGUGAAGUCAUAACAAGGUAGCCGUACUGGAAGGACCAGCUGGAUCACCUCCUUU
RNAcentral lists this ribosomal RNA (727 nucleotides) under Triticum aestivum (bread wheat). Its description in RNAcentral is "Bacterial small subunit ribosomal RNA". It matches the Rfam family "Bacterial small subunit ribosomal RNA". The record is from Rfam by way of RNAcentral. Lineage: Eukaryota; Viridiplantae; Streptophyta; Magnoliopsida; Poales; Poaceae.